UACAGAGGGUGCGAGCGUUGUCCGGAAUCACUGGGCGUAAAGAGCUCGUAGGCGGUCUGUCGCGUCUGCUGUGAAAACUCGGGGCUUAACCCCGGGCCUGCAGUGGGUACGGGCAGACUAGAGUGCGGUAGGGGAGACUGGAAUUCCUGGUGUAGCGGUGAAAUGCGCAGAUAUCAGGAGGAACACCGGUGGCGAAGGCGGGUCUCUGGGCCGUAACUGACGCUGAGGAGCGAAAGCAUGGGGAGCGAACAGG
RNAcentral lists this ribosomal RNA (253 nucleotides) under uncultured bacterium. RNAcentral's name for it is "partial 16S ribosomal RNA". It matches the Rfam family "Bacterial small subunit ribosomal RNA", at positions 524 to 776 of the family's 1533-position model. The record is from RNAcentral.